AGCAGCAUGGCGCAGUUGGAAGCGCGCAGGGCCCAUAUAUAUUCGUGAUCAGAAUCUGAAUCUGAUGUACAUAGGUGUUACCCUGAGGUCACUUGAUCGAAACAAGUUGCUGCUA
Non-coding RNA from Tephrocybe sp. NHM501043, 115 nucleotides. The record is from the annotation of a GenBank genome assembly. Lineage: Eukaryota; Fungi; Basidiomycota; Agaricomycetes; Agaricales; Lyophyllaceae.